RNAcentral lists this ribosomal RNA (1917 nucleotides) under human gut metagenome. Its description in RNAcentral is "bacterial LSU rRNA". It matches the Rfam family "Bacterial large subunit ribosomal RNA", at positions 1 to 1997 of the family's 2925-position model. The record is from RNAcentral.
UGAAGUAAGUAAGGGCGUACGGUGAAUGCCUUGGUGCCAACAGGCGAAGAAGGACGCGGCAAGCUGCGAAAAGCCUCGGGAAGCUGCAAGCAAGCGAUGAUCCGGGGAUAUCCGAAUGGGGUAACCUGAUCGAGGCAAUACUCGAUCGUUCAUACCUGAAUACAUAGGGUAUGAAACGCGAAACCCGCUGAAGUGAAACAUCUCAGUAAGCGGAGGAAAAGAAAGAGAAAUCGAUUCCGUAAGUAGUGGCGAGCGAAAGCGGAUGGAGCCCAAACCGAAGGUAUUCCUUCGGGGUUGUAGGACCACGUCAUAUUCGACCAUACUGGAUAGUAGAACAGCCUGGAAAGGCUGGCCGGAGAAGGUGAAAGCCCUGUAGACGAAAUCCAGAGUGGGAAUUAGUGGUAUCCUGAGUAAUACAUCACACGUGGAACGAUGUAUGAACCCGCGCGGACCACCGCGCAAGGCUAAAUACUAGUUGGCGACCGAUAGUGAACAAGUACCGCGAGGGAAAGGUGAAAAGAACCGCUGUGAGCGGAGUGAAAUAGAACCUGAAACCGUAUGUCUACAAAGUGUCAGAGCAGAGCAAUCUGCGAUGGCGUGCCUUUUGUUUAAUGAGUCUGCGAGUCAGUGUUUGUGGCAAGACUAAGGGCUUCCGGCCCGGAGUCGCAGCGAAAGCAAGUCCGAACAGGGCGCAAUAAGUCGCAGGUACUGGACCCGAAGCGGAGGUGACCUACCCUUGGCCAGGUUGAAGCAUGGGUAAAACCAUGUGGAGGACCGAACAGGUGAACGUUGAAAAGUUCUCUGAUGAGCUGAGGGUAGGAGUGAAAGGCUAAUCAAACCCCGUGAUAGCUGGUUCUCUUCGAAAUGCAUUUAGGUGCAGCGUCACGUGCUGAUGCGCGGGGGUAGAGCACUGACAAGGCUAGGGGGCACACCCGCUUACCAAACCUUAUCAAACUCCGAAUACCGUGCAAUGGAACGUGGCAGUGAGACAGUGGGGGAUAAGCUUCAUUGUCGAGAGGGAAACAACCCAGACCAGCAGCUAAGGUGCCUAAAUAACGCUCAGUGGAAAGGAUGUGGGAUUACACAGACAGUGAGGAUGUUGGCUUAGAAGCAGCCACCAUUUAAAAAAUGCGUAAUAGCUUACUCAUCGAGUGAUCCUGCGCCGAAAAUGAUUGGCGAUCAAGCGUUAUACCGAAGCUCUGGACUUUGCCGCAAGGCAGAGUGGUAGAAGAGCGUUGCAUGCGCGUCGAAGGGCGAUGGCGACUGACCCUGGAGCACAUGCAAGUGAGUAUGCAGACAUGAGUAACGUUAAGCCGGGUGAAAUCCCCGGCCGCCGUAAACCCGAGGUUUCCAGGGCAACGUGUUUCGUCCCUGGGUUAGCCGGGACCUAAGCCGAGGCCGAGAGGCGUAGGCGAUGGACAUCAGGUUAAUAAUCCUGAGCUCGCAACCCUUAAACUGGGGGGACGCAUGAGAAAAGAUGACUAGGUUAUUGAAUUCCGAGUUGAGUCUACGGACUCAGCGCAUCAUUGGAUCGAGUGCCAAGAAAAGCCCCAGCGUAUGCUAAGCGACCCGUACCGCAAACCGACACAGGUGGGUGGGUAGAAUAUACCAAGGCGUAAGAGUGAAACCUGGUUAAGGAACUCGGCAAAUUAGCCCCGUAACUUCGGAAGAAGGGGUGCCUGCAGCGAUGCAGGCCGCAGAGAAAUGGCCCAACCGACUGUUUAUCAAAAACACAGCACUCUGCAAAGACGCAAGUCGAAGUAUAGGGUGUGACACGUGACCAAUGCCGAAAGAUUAAGGCAAGGGGUUAGCCGCAAGGCGAAGCUCUAAACCCAAGUCCCGGUGAAUGUCGGCCGUAACUAUAACGGUCCUAAGGUAGCGAAAUUCCUUGUCGGGUAAGUUCCGACCUGCACGAAU